CGCUGGCGGCGUGCCUAACACAUGCAAGUCGAACGGGUGAGAGGAGCUUGCUCCUCGAUCUAGUGGCGAACGGGUGAGUAACGCGUGAGAAACCUACCUUUCAGUGGGGGGGACAACAGUUGGAAGCGACUGCUAAUACCGCAUAAUGUGCCGGGAGGGCAUCCUCCUGGUACCAAAGCUUUAUGUGCUGAAAGAUGGUCUCGCGUCUGAUUAGCUAGUUGGUGAGGCAACGGCUCACCAAGGCGACGAUCAGUAGCCGGUCUGAGAGGAUGAACGGCCACAUUGGGACUGAGAUACGGCCCAGACUCCUACGGGAGGCAGCAGUGGGGAAUAUUGGGCAAUGGGGGAAACCCUGACCCAGCAACGCCGCGUGAAGGAAGAAGGCCUUCGGGUUGUAAACUUCUUUUAGCAGGGACGAAGAACGUGACGGUACCUGCAGAAAAAGCAACGGCUAACUACGUG
This 462-nucleotide ribosomal RNA is filed under the name uncultured bacterium. RNAcentral describes it as "bacterial SSU rRNA". It matches the Rfam family "Bacterial small subunit ribosomal RNA", at positions 34 to 507 of the family's 1533-position model. The record is from RNAcentral.